UACAGAGGGUGCGAGCGUUGUCCGGAAUCACUGGGCGUAAAGGGCGCGUAGGCGGCUCAGUAAGGUUGCGGUGAAAGCCCGGGGCUCAACCCCGGGUCGGCCGUGGCAACUGCUGGGCUGGAGCACUGUAGAGGCAGGUGGAAUUCCGGGUGUAGCGGUGGAAUGCGUAGAGAUCCGGAAGAACACCGGUGGCGAAGGCGGCCUGCUGGGCAGUGGCUGACGCUGAGGCGCGACAGCGUGGGGAGCAAACAGG
Molecule: ribosomal RNA, 253 nt
Filed under: uncultured bacterium
Lineage: Bacteria
Description: partial 16S ribosomal RNA
Rfam family: Bacterial small subunit ribosomal RNA
Source: RNAcentral